RNAcentral lists this unclassified non-coding RNA (165 nucleotides) under uncultured Umbelopsis. Its description in RNAcentral is "sequence contains ITS1". Lineage: Eukaryota; Fungi; Mucoromycota; Umbelopsidomycetes; Umbelopsidales; Umbelopsidaceae. The record is from RNAcentral.
CCAAAAGAUAAUCUUUCCAUCUUGAAAGAUCUUUUCCAUUGUGCUGGCUUUGACUGUAUUGUCAUUUUAGGGCUUAAACAUGGUGUUAUGCCGGCCCUAAAAACAUUAUACCAACCUUAUGAAAAUUGACUGAAGAAACUAAAACAAGGAUAAUUUGUUUAAAAA